GGUCAAGCACUGCCUGUCACUAUGUUGCUCUGAGUGUUUUCCUCGCACUGUUCCUUGUGCAGCACCGACAGAGUCGGGAUUGCUGUCUGUCAGGCGACAAGGGACUUGGCGAGCUGGCAGAAGAUGUCCAAACACAAAGGCUCUUUUCUUCUGCGGCUGGCAAGAAUCCAGGCCAAUCUUAGAAUAUUUGCCCAUCCUCCUCUGCUGUAUCCGACCCAUCACUGAGGACAGUGUUUCUCUUGGAGUUUCAUCUGAAAAACACUACAGCAGAGGAAUGCUCACUGACCCAGAAGCCCAGUGACAAGAAGAGGGAAUUAUAUGUGUAUGAAUGUCUGCCUUUGGGAAAAAAAGUGCACAGAAAGAGAACUACAACAAAUCCAAAGUUUCUUUCCAAAUUGAAACACCUGGAUUUUUUUUAUUUUUUAUUUUUUUAAGAGUCAG
Long non-coding RNA from Cygnus olor (mute swan), 441 nucleotides. RefSeq lists it as uncharacterized. Lineage: Eukaryota; Metazoa; Chordata; Aves; Anseriformes; Anatidae. The record is from RefSeq and is a predicted model, not a curated record. The transcript has 3 exons.